CCUACGGGAGGCUGCAGUAGGGAAUAUUGCUCAAUGGGGGAAACCCUGAAGCAGCAACGCCGCGUGGAGGAUGAAGGUUUUCGGAUUGUAAACUCCUUUUGUUAGAGAAGAUAAUGACGGUAUCUAACGAAUAAGCACCGGCUAAAUCCGGGCCAGCAGCCGCGGUAAUACGGCGGGUGCAAGCGUUACUCGGAAUGACUGGGGGUAAAGAGCGCGUAGGCGGGAUAGCAAGUCAGAUGUGAAAUCCUAUGGGUUAACCAUAGAACUGCAUUUGAAACUGUUAUUCUUGAGUAUGGGAGAGGUAGGUGGAAUUCUUGGUGUAGGGGUAAAAUCCGUAGAGAUCAAGAAGAAUACUCAUUGCGAAGGCGACCUACUAGAACAUAACUGACGCUGAUGCGCGAAAGCGUGGGGAGCAAACAGGAUUAGAUACCCCGGUAGUC
This 440-nucleotide ribosomal RNA is filed under the name uncultured bacterium. RNAcentral's name for it is "partial 16S ribosomal RNA". It matches the Rfam family "Bacterial small subunit ribosomal RNA", at positions 338 to 795 of the family's 1533-position model. The record is from RNAcentral.